RNAcentral lists this ribosomal RNA (301 nucleotides) under uncultured bacterium. RNAcentral describes it as "partial 16S ribosomal RNA". It matches the Rfam family "Bacterial small subunit ribosomal RNA", at positions 509 to 807 of the family's 1533-position model. The record is from RNAcentral.
CAGUAGCCGCGGUAAUACGGAGGGUGCAAGCGUUAUCCGGAUUUAUUGGGUUUAAAGGGUCCGUAGGCGGAUCUGUAAGUCAGUGGUGAAAUCUCACAGCUUAACUGUGAAACUGCCAUUGAUACUGCAGGUCUUGAGUAAAUUUGAAGUGGCUGGAAUAAGUAGUGUAGCGGUGAAAUGCAUAGAUAUUACUUAGAACACCAAUUGCGAAGGCAGGUCACUAAGAUUUAACUGACGCUGAUGGACGAAAGCGUGGGGAGCGAACAGGAUUAGAGACCCGCGUAGUCCCUGUCUCUUAUAC